CGAUAGGACUUGGAGCAAUAAUGGUGGUUUGGAGUCCAAGGAGACAUCUCCAAUUCCUUUGUUUUGUCCGUUCAACAGCCCAAAAUCCCAACGUGAGUCGAUAAAGGGGAGACUUCUUCUCCUCUCAGGGUUCAUGGUGUCGUUGGGCAUUUGGACGGUGCUGACCGUGAUGCCGCCGUACAAACAGAUCAGUGUGUGUAAGAAGCCUGUGAGUCCAUGCUGCUCUCCCUUCUCCUUUAUCCUCUCCUCCUCUAGUCUCACCCUUCUCACCCUCUCGCUUUAAUCAGCUCUCGCUCUGUCCAGUGCUGCUGUAGUAAGCUACGGCAUUAUACAGUCUGUGCAUGUGUAUGAAUGUGUGUGUGUGUGUUGUGGAGAUCUGUCUGUCCCUUCAUUUGUCCAGUUGUUACUCAUCAUGCCUGCGUUAUUCAUCUUCACCCAUACAGUCUUAAACACCAAUGUACCAAUGCACCAAAGUGUGCUUUCAACAAGACAUUUAUAAGAAGCUGUGAUGGUUUACUGCCCAUAUCAAGUUUGCUGACAUUUGCACCACGCUGGAGCUCGAGAUGCUCAGUGUGUAGAUCAGGUAUGUUUCUCAUCGGGAGGCUCCGUCUUAAGGAGUUUGUCCAUCUGUUGACCACAGACGUCCGGUGUGACACAGAGACGCUACGACCACUGCUCAAAUGUCUCUCUCUGACACUUAAUUUCUUCCCCUUUUCUCUCCUUUUUAAUCUAUUGCUUCACUUCAACAUCUCUGUCUCUCCCUCUGCUUCAUGUCACUUUCCUCUUUGUCAGACUCACACACGCACAUACAAACACACGUAGUCUCCUCCGGCUAAGCGGUGACACACCGUGUAUACAGAGUGGAUGUGUGUGUGUUUUGGUGCACACUUGAUUUUGUGCAUUGAUGUGCAUCUAAGUAAGUGAUUUGGUAUAUUAAUCAUUCAAGUCUUUUAUCAAACAGAAAUGUCAAUUAAUCGCUGGCUUCACAUUCUCACAUGUUGACGCUUUGUUACUCCUCUACACCUUCAAUCAUUGCAAAUUUAAAGGCGUCGCUUUGGCAAAUUUAAUGAAUAUUUUUCACAAUUGCGACAGUGUAUCUUGAAAUACAUUAAAUAGGCUCUGAACAUGAGAUAACUGCCCCGGUCAGUAUAAAAGAAAACUCCUGGUUAACUUGCAGUGAGCAUUUAUUUCAGUGCUUUUCUGUCAUUUUAACAUAUAACAAAUCUCUAAUGUCACCUUAGAGUCGUGGAACCUUACUGGUCACAAUAGUAAUCAACUUGAAACUGAGACUUGUGAUAAUUUGACACUUUAUGCUUUAGUAUCUUUAUAAGCGGUUGCAUGUUUGUUUACGUGCUGUAAGUAAAGAUGCUUGGGCGAGCUUCUUAUUAGCCAGGAAGUGAUCUCACACUCGCAGUGCUCCUCUGGCGUUCAUGCUGUCACUUUCUUCUUCUUCUUCUUCUUCUCUUCUUCUUCUUCUUCUUCUUCUUCUUCUUCUUCUUCUUCUUCUUCUUCUUCUUCUUCUUCUUCUUCUUCUUCUUCAAAGAUCUCCUUUUCUCCUCACACAGCACUAAUGACACAGUGUGGCUUCAAACCCUCCAUUCUGGCUCUAUUUAUAAAACGGCUAGUUGCCGUGGCACUGACUCACUGUCAGCAAGCGGCAUUGAAACUGACUUCGCCACACACACACACACACACACACACACACACACGUAAAAAACCCUAAUACGAGUACAUAGACAAACACAGACACCAAAGGAUCACAGAGUUGUGGGAAGGCCUUAACCUCUUCGCAGCCAGCGUUGCUGUGGAGACGGGGAUUCAGGAAGCUGGGCUUUGCCAGCGGUCUAGCUGGGGGCCAGCUGCAGGCGGAGGAGGAUGUUUUUGGCAACACUAGCCCUGAUGGAAAACCCAGCCGCUGUGUCGGACUCAUUGCAUCGUGUAUAGAAACAUUCCCACUCUGUGACGCCGCUUGGUCGCUCCACAGUUUAAUCUGCUGCAGCCCUGGUGGGGGGAGGGGGGGGGGCCUGCUCAUUGCAGCCAGCAGAACUUAGUAACCCUGUGAAGUGCUCACACUUUAAACUGGUUGUUGAGUUUCUCAUGGACCAGAGGGACUGUUCUUCUGUCAGUGGGUUGGGGUAGGGUAGAGUUGAGUUAGGUUGGGUAAGGUUGGGGUAGGGUUGGUAGGGUUAGGUUGGGGUAGAGUGGGGUUGGGUUAGGGUUGGGUUGGGGUAGAGUGGGGUUGGGUUAGGGUUGGGUUGCGUUAGGUUGGGUUAGGGUUGGGUUAGGGUUGGGUUGCGUUAGGGUUGGGUUAGGGUUGGGUUGGGUUGGGUAGGGUUGGGUUUGGGGUUGUUAGACCCGGACCACUGGUGGAUUUACUUCCAUUUCAAAAGUUUACAUCCAUUUUACAGAAACAAAUAUUGUUUGCUUAAGAGCUGUUUUCACUUUAAAGUAACGAUUAGAAGCACAUUUGAUUUCUUUUUGAUUGUGACUUAACUUAUAAUGAAGUAUUUCAAAUGUUUAAUCAGUGUCACUGGUUACACAACAUACAAUCAGUUCUGACAAUGUGCUGUAGAUUAAACUCUCCAUGAGUACUUGAAGUAGUUCAGAUGAACUUCACCUAACAUGAUGUACAGUAUAGUCAUAUAGAUCUUUAACUUAACUGUAGGUAUAUUUUGUAUUUCUGUAAACUACUUAAAAUUUCUCCUGGUAUUGUCUUUAGCAAAGAAAUUAGCACACCACUGAAUACACAGUGAAGAUGGAUAUAUAGGAAUAUUCAGGAUGAGCUGGUUGUCAAACUCAUUACUCCAGAAGUCCACAGCGACGCUCACCAACCCGAGACUCCCUGUGGAGCAGUGAUGGCCAAUUCAUUCUCUCAGGACAGGUAUUGAUUUUGUGAUGGACAGAUCAGAGCAUCAGGUCCCUAGAGUGCCACACGCGCACGCACACACACACACACACACACACACACAGACCAAAAUGCAUUCACUAGCCUUUACACUGGCAAAAAGCAAAUUCUAAACUCAACCGUGAAACCAAGUCUGAACCCUCAAACAGACCUUUGUGUCCAAGUGAGGACCAUCCAAGAGAUCCGUACAAAGCUCAAAAGCUUUGGCUAGAAGAUGACUGUUCAAGUAUACAAACACACACACACACAUAAACUGUCUUGUGUUUGUAUUUAUUGUAUUUGCUGUAACAGACAAGAGAGAAGCAGAAGAAGAGGACGGAGACUGAAAGGGAGAAAAAGAAACGCACAUCCUUCCUCCCAGCUUAUUGACUUUAGAAAUACUAGAAGAGCUUUGAAAUGUCCUCUCUCUGGUCUUUGCUCCUUGUCUUUCGCUGCUGUCGUGUGCUCGCUUCCCUUCACAGUAGUUCACUAUUAGUCUGCAGCCUCAUGGUCAACGCUCGUCUGGACGUGAUGACGGAUGUUGUUUCUCUCUUUCAUCAUUCAUGAUCACACUGCACCCCAGCAAAUUAAUGAUACAACUAUUCCUCCCUCCCCCCUUCUUCUGACCUCCUUUCCUUCCCCCUCCCCCCGCUGCUCUCCGUCCCCCUCUGUCUCUCAUUCCGUUACGUCCCUCGCAGCCCCGCAGACGAGAUGGAGUCCUCGGACGACGAUACUCUGAGCGAGCGCUCCUGCGUCAGCGAGCCGUCCUUCCGUAGCGAGCGCUCGGCGGGGUCGCUGUCCCCGUGUCCGCCGGGUCCCGCGGGGCCCCCGGGAGACACGCUGCCGUGGAACCUGUCCAAACAUGAGCGCAGGAAGAGGAAGAGCCAGGACUCUGUACUGGACCCGGCAGAGAGGGCGGUGGUUCGCGUUGCAGGUAAGGGCAAGCCGCCAGAGCACUUCCCCGUGCCUUUGAGCAAGAGGCCGAGGCCCAAAGCUGUCGAGUGAGGCUGCGGUCAGGGUGUGCGGUGGAAAACUGACUAUGAACCCCUGACUCGAGCGCUUAUAUGGGCCGAAAAGUACAAAAAAUGACACUGCUCUUUCCACCAUUACACAUGUUGUAUUAAGUUUCCACUUCAUCCCCUUUGAAUCUCACAUCACAGCACAAGGCUGUAAAUAUCAGAAAGAUGGGAGGAGAAUCUGUUGGUGGUGUCUUAUUUUCAUACUGCUACUAUGACGACUGCCCCCUUCCCCUCUUCCUCGCCGUAGCAGAAGAUGGAGGAGAAAUGUAGGUUGCUCAGCUCUCUGGAGGAGCCAGGGUUCUCCUGCUCGUGUAACAACACUAGCAGCCUGAUUCUCCUCUGUCAGCGAUUAGGAAGCUCCCAGCUCAAUAAUGGAAGCAAAUGAUGUAAAAGUUGGAGUAGUUUUUAUCCACUCACUGCAUCUCCUGAUUGCGAUGAUUAUUUGCAGUUUGAGGCUUUUAUCAUAUAAAUGUGUGGUAGUGGAUGGAUGCCAGCAUUUAGCUAACACUCAGCAGCCUACGAUUGAUGGAGGAGUAUAAUAAACUCCAUCAUUAUAUUAUGUAAUUCAUCCGGAUUUCAUCCAAAGCGUCUCACGAUUAGAAUGGUCUCAACCAUGAGGGUAAAACUGCUGCGUUUAGACACACAGUUAAAUGCAUAUAUAUACUUUACAUUUGAAUUGAACCUAUUUGAAUUUCAUUUUGUUAUUAGUUUUAUGGUUUCAUGAUUUUAUAGUUUUACUAUAGAGAGCAGAGCAAACUAAAAAGGACCUGAAAAGCUCAAAAGCAACCAAAGGCAAUCACCCCAAAUAUCAUAUAAUUACCCAUAAAUUGAAGUCAGUCACUCACUGCUGCAGCUUCUAUCAUGAUUUCUUACUGAUAGUUACAACAGUCUAAUUUUAAAAAAAGGCAGCUGAAAUAAAGGAUCACUUCCAUGCGCUAUUUGUAAUGAUAAAAACACCCUCAAGUUAUUCUUCUUACACCAUCAACACGUGACGGCUCUUUGUUGUUUACACAUGAAAGACUAAUUACGAGCAGAUCUGAGAGCGCACUUGUGGAAUCAGUUAUCACACUGGUUUAAGAGGGUUGGCAUCUUCGCUUUUAUGUCCUGUGGUCUUCUUUCUUCAUCGCGUUGGUCCUUCUCAGCAGACCAGAUGAAGAAACAACAUAUACAAAUCGUCUCAUACUCAGGAUUUGUGAAUAUGAUACUGGGUGUCUUACUAAAAAUAGAUAUGAAAACUAGAUCUGAAGCUAAAAAUGAGAUGUGGGCCACUAAUCAUCCACCAACCCGCACUCCUGCCACCUCACUGUAGACUAAGCAUCCGGCAGUCUUGUAAACUGAUUUAUUUUAAGUCCUUUGCGUUAAGCAUGAACAUACAAAACAAAGUUGAAGUCUUUGAUUUUGCAAGUGACUUUUGGUGUUAUUUAUUUUGAUAUACUGGAUGUCCUGCAUCCGUAAAGGUUACCAGAUUCAAUCAUGAUGAACAUAUUGUUAGCUGUUGGCCUCAGAGCCCGGCUAAACGGAGACA
Long non-coding RNA from Gasterosteus aculeatus aculeatus (three-spined stickleback), 5428 nucleotides. The record is from Ensembl. NCBI's taxonomy places the organism in Eukaryota, Metazoa, Chordata, Actinopteri, Perciformes, Gasterosteidae.